Molecule: transfer RNA, 66 nt
Filed under: Abroscelis anchoralis
Lineage: Eukaryota; Metazoa; Arthropoda; Insecta; Coleoptera; Carabidae
Description: Cicindela anchoralis tRNA-Pro
Source: RNAcentral
CAGGGGAUAGUUUAAUAAAAAUAUUAAUUUUGGAGAUUAAUGAUAAAAGAUAUAUUUUUCCUCUGA